GAUAGCUCAGUUGCUAAAGCAUCGCAUCGGUAACGCGGAGGUCAUGGGUUCAAAUCCCGUUAAUCU
This is a non-coding RNA of Desmophyllum pertusum, 66 nucleotides long. The record is from the annotation of a GenBank genome assembly. Lineage: Eukaryota; Metazoa; Cnidaria; Anthozoa; Scleractinia; Caryophylliidae.